RNAcentral lists this ribosomal RNA (795 nucleotides) under Salmonella enterica. RNAcentral's name for it is "partial 23S ribosomal RNA". It matches the Rfam family "Bacterial large subunit ribosomal RNA", at positions 397 to 1191 of the family's 2925-position model. Lineage: Bacteria; Pseudomonadati; Pseudomonadota; Gammaproteobacteria; Enterobacterales; Enterobacteriaceae. The record is from RNAcentral.
CUGUGAGCUCGAUGAGUAGGGCGGGACACGUGGUAUCCUGUCUGAAUAUGGGGGGACCAUCCUCCAAGGCUAAAUACUCCUGACUGACCGAUAGUGAACCAGUACCGUGAGGGAAAGGCGAAAAGAACCCCGGCGAGGGGAGUGAAAAAGAACCUGAAACCGUGUACGUACAAGCAGUGGGAGCACAGGUUUACCUGUGUGACUGCGUACCUUUUGUAUAAUGGGUCAGCGACUUAUAUUCUGUAGCAAGGUUAACCGAAUAGGGGAGCCGGAGGGAAACCGAGUCUUAAUUGGGCGUUAAGUUGCAGGGUAUAGACCCGAAACCCGGUGAUCUAGCCAUGGGCAGGUUGAAGGUUGGGUAACACUAACUGGAGGACCGAACCGACUAAUGUUGAAAAAUUAGCGGAUGACCUGUGGCUGGGGGUGAAAGGCCAAUCAAACCGGGAGAUAGCUGGUUCUCCCCGAAAGCUAUUUAGGUAGCGCCUCGUGAAUUCAUCUCCGGGGGUAGAGCACUGUUUCGGCUAGGGGGCCAUCCCGGCUUACCAACCCGAUGCAAACUGCGAAUACCGGAGAAUGUUAUCACGGGAGACACACGGCGGGUGCUAACGUCCGUCGUGAAGAGGGAAACAACCCAGACCGCCAGCUAAGGUCCCAAAGUCAUGGUUAAGUGGGAAACGAUGUGGGAAGGCCCAGACAGCCAGGAUGUUGGCUUAGAAGCAGCCAUCAUUUAAAGAAAGCGUAAUAGCUCACUGGUCGAGUCGGCCUGCGCGGAAGAUGUAACGGGGCUAAACCAUG